Long non-coding RNA from Zeugodacus cucurbitae (melon fly), 572 nucleotides. RefSeq lists it as uncharacterized. The transcript is spliced from 3 exons. Lineage: Eukaryota; Metazoa; Arthropoda; Insecta; Diptera; Tephritidae. The record is from RefSeq and is a predicted model, not a curated record.
CGAGAACUCGUUAUCGAAUAACGAACAUACAAAUUUCGAAAGUUCGUAUUCGAUAGCGAGUACCUCGAUCCGAAUACAAAAUAAAAUACAUGAAUAUCGAAAUGUAUUUGUGCUUUAGUUAGGAAUAAAAUUAUACCAAACAUGUUUUUUAUAAGUGAACUAGUAACCGGGCCACGGGUUGCUGUGGUUAAGGUUGUCACUAAUUAUUGGAAAAUAUAGUCAAUAUCAAACAUUUUUUGGCAAACUUUGUCGGAAAUCACCAGGCAGGUCUAACCGACUGGACAGACAGAUGGAAAUUGCGACUAAUAUUUCAAAUAUCCUACCUCUCAAGUUGGAUGAAACACACGUAAUAAAAUCGGUUCAGUCGUUUAGGCGUGAAUCAAGGACAAACAAUGUGACAUGGAAUUUAUAUAUAUAAAUAUAUAAGAAAAUUGCUUGUGUACUAUUAUACGGUUGAAUUGGUGAGUUUGAAUCACCAAUUGAAUUGAGAAUUUUGAUCUGACCUACAAACAAACGGCAGCCACAUCGGCAGUUUACAGUACUAAAUUCCCAAUUAUGUAUAAUAUGUUUAG